AUAAUAUGCAUGACAACCCUAUAUGAACAAACCUUUGUUGUAAUAUAAUGUGAUAGUUGAUGUGUUGAAUAUAUUUUACAUAAUAGAUUCUUCCGAUUAACAUCAAAGGCCUAGCUGGAAGUUUUGCAACACUUGCCAAUUGGUUCUUUUCCUGGUUGGUUACAUUAACAGCAAAUUUGCUCUUGGAUUGGAGUUCGGGAGGAACCUUCACAAUAUAUACUGCAGUGUGUGUUUUCACAGCAGGAUUUGUUGCCAUUUGGGUCCCCGAGACAAAGGGAAAAACUCUUGAAGAAAUACAACAGUUUUUCAGAUGAAGUUUCCUUUCGAGUAGCACUUCAGCUAGUGUUCACUCAUGUAUUCACAUUCAUAUUUUUUUUUCUGAAUCAACUCAAUUCAUUUUUGUGCUCUUUGGUCUUGUUAAAUAUGAAAAAUACCAAAACAGUGUGAUUUUCUAAUCUAGCAGCAUACUUGCAUUUUUGUUGUAAUUGAUUGAUUAUAAACAAAUAAAUGAAAGAGAGUGGUUAUUA
Molecule: long non-coding RNA, 527 nt
Organism: Lathyrus oleraceus (garden pea)
Lineage: Eukaryota; Viridiplantae; Streptophyta; Magnoliopsida; Fabales; Fabaceae
Exons: 2
Source: RefSeq, a predicted model, not a curated record